RNA transcript from Gossypium arboreum, 2107 nucleotides. RefSeq lists it as uncharacterized. NCBI's taxonomy places the organism in Eukaryota, Viridiplantae, Streptophyta, Magnoliopsida, Malvales, Malvaceae. The transcript is spliced from 6 exons. The record is from RefSeq and is a predicted model, not a curated record.
AAAUAGCCGAAUUCUAACAACACUGAAGUACGCAUAGAAAGUCAGAUUUGCACGAAAAAACAUGAAUCAGAAAGUACAGGUAACUAUAUAAAACUUUUUGGGGACCUUUGCCACUACCAGUUUCACUUCACUUGUCAGUCUCCACACUUCCGAGUGCCAAAACUAUGCCCAGCCUUCGCCUUCUUGUCCUCUUCUUCUUCCUCUUCUUCUCAGUUCAUUCCCAAGAAGACACUCCCAUAGCUCGAUUCCUUCGUUACCUUCAAUUCAACACCGCUCAUCCCAAUCCAAACUACGCUGACCCCAUCUCUUUCCUCAUAUCCCAAGCCAACGCCAUUGGACUCCAAGCCCGAACUCUUGAAUUCACCCUUUCUAAACCACUUCUCCUUCUAACAUGGCCUGGCUCCAACCCUUCUCUUCCCUCAGUUCUCUUCAAUUCCCACCUCGAUUCCGUUCCAGCUGAACCUUCCAAAUGGAUCUACCCUCCUUUCUCCGCCACUCUCGCCCCUGACGGUAAAAUCUACGCGCGCGGUGCUCAAGAUGACAAGUGCAUCGCUAUGCAAUACUUGGAAGCCAUUCGCAACCUCAAGGCUAACGGCUUUACUCCUUUGCGAACUGUUCAUAUUUCUUAUGUUCCUGAUGAAGAAAUUGGAGGGUUUGACGGGAGUGCUAAGUUCACUGGGUCCAAAGAGUUUGAGGAUUUGAAUGUUGGGUUCGUUUUGGAUGAAGGGCAGGCUUCUACUGGCGAUGAGUUUAGAGUGUUUUAUGCUGAUAGGACACCAUGGGAACUUAAAAUAAAGGCUACUGGAGAUCCAGGGCAUGGUUCUAGAUUGUAUGAUAAUGGGGCAAUGGAGAAUCUGAUGAAGAGUGUGGAAGUUAUUACUAAGUUUAGGGAGAGUCAAUUUGAUAUUGUUAAAUCUGGGGAAGCUAUGAACUCUGAGGUUAUUUCGGUUAAUCCUGUUUAUCUAAAAGCUGGCAUACCCUCCCCAACUGGAUUUGUGAUGAACAUGCAACCUUCUGAGGGAGAGGCAGGAUUUGAUCUUAGGUUGCCACCUACUGCUGAUCCUGAUCUUAUCAAGAAAAGAAUUGCUGAAGAAUGGGCACCUGCUAGAAGGAAUAUGACAUAUGAGGUAAUUGAAAAAGGACCGAUAAGAGAUUACCUGGACCGCCCUCUAAUGACACUCACAAAUGAUUCCAAUCCAUGGUGGCCUGUUUUCAAGCAAGCUAUUGAGGCGGCUGGAGGAAAACUUUCGAGGCCUGAAAUUUUAGCUUCAACAACUGAUGCACGGUUCAUGAGACAAAGAGGAAUUCCUACUUUUGGUUUUUCCCCAAUGACAAACACUCCCAUCCUGUUGCAUGAUCAUAACGAGUUCCUGAAAGAUACAGUGUACUUGAGGGGAAUUGAAGUGUAUGAAUCUGUGAUAAGUUCUCUGAGUUCCUUUAAAGGAGAAUCUUAUUAGAUGCUUUCAACCAGUCAAUAAUUGAUCACGGUUGCAGUGUGUCAUGGGUUGAAAUGCUUCACGUAUCCGCUUCUGCAUCAAAUUCAGAUUGAAGCAAAUCAGAUUCUGGAUAAGUCAAGUGCUUCACCGCUUCGUGGCUUUUGUUAAUUGCAGAAGAAAAAGUAUGACAUUUGAAUUGAUUCUUGUACGAGAACAGAAACUCAAUGGAGACUUGAGCCAAAGAUGUGCAAUCUCGAACUAAGAAACGUAUAGCUUAGGCUCAGCUUUUCCAUUAAUGAAGUGGCUCAUAAACUUUUUCUCCAUCAACAGUUUCUUUCUCUAUCAGAAGUUGAGCAAGCUUGUCAAUGUGGGUUGUGAUUAUCUAGCUUGCCCUUGAAUACACAGUGAAGAACAUGAAAGAAGGGAAGGGGAGGAGUUUGAUGGGUGGAAGGAGAUGAAAGAAAAAAAUUAAGAUUUUGAUGCUGAAGGACAGAAGGAGAUAAAAGGAAAACAUGGAGAGUGAGUUUUCAACGGAUAUGUAUUUUAUUUUGUUCUAUUUCAUUCAAAAUAAAGUUAAAAUGGCGAGGGAGUGUCACGUAUCAUAUUUUUAUUUACUGAAGUUAUUUAAGGUCACUUAAAAAAUGACUAAAAAUCUUAAUAAAAUGAUACUU